AUUGAACGCUGGCGGCAUGCCUUACACAUGCAAGUCGAACGGCAGCACGGGAGCAAUCCUGGUGGCGAGUGGCGAACGGGUGAGUAAGGUAUCGGAACGUGCCCAGUCGUGGGGGAUAACGUAGCGAAAGUUACGCUAAUACCGCAUACGAUCUAUGGAUGAAAGCGGGGGAUCGCAAGACCUCGCGCGAUUGGAGCGGCCGAUAUCAGAUUAGGUAGUUGGGGGGGUAAAGGCUCACCAAGCCGACGAUCUGUAGCUGGUCUGAGAGGACGACCAGCCACACUGGGACUGAGACACGGCCCAGACUCCUACGGGAGGCAGCAGUGGGGAAUUUUGGACAAUGGGCGCAAGCCUGAUCCAGCCAUGCCGCGUGCAGGAUGAAGGCCGUCGGGUUGUAAACUGCUUUUGUACGGAACGAAAAGGUUUGGCUUAAUACGUUGAACUCAUGACGGUACCGUAAGAAUAAGCACCGGCUAACUACGUGCCAGCAGCCGCAGUAA
This 500-nucleotide ribosomal RNA is filed under the name uncultured bacterium. RNAcentral describes it as "partial 16S ribosomal RNA". It matches the Rfam family "Bacterial small subunit ribosomal RNA", at positions 30 to 523 of the family's 1533-position model. The record is from RNAcentral.